AUGCUGCUGCUGGCAGCACUCAUGGCUACAGCCACUUGGUCGUGCGGAUUUUCACUAGAAAUCCCUGUGCAAAGCCCUGUAUCCAUCACCAAGUUCCAAAAAAGUGCACGGAUGACAUGUGAAAUUCAAACGUUAGAGGCAAAUUUUGACAACACUGUCAUACACUGGUAUCAACAGAAAGAGGGUAAAGCUCCAGAAAGGCUACUGUUCUUUUCCGGAGGGAAAGCUUCAGUUGAAAGCGGUUUUCAACAAAACAGGUACAUGGUUGAAAAAGUUUCUGGUCAGAACCGGUGUGUUCUUACAAUAAAAGAUGUAAUUCCAGAUGAUGCUGCUACUUACUACUGUGCCUACUGGGACCCUCACUGUGGUUGGAACUCAAAGAUCAUCAAGGCAAGAAAACCCUCCCCCAACAUCUGA
Apaloderma vittatum (bar-tailed trogon) is the source of this 417-nucleotide non-coding RNA. The record is from the annotation of a RefSeq genome assembly. NCBI's taxonomy places the organism in Eukaryota, Metazoa, Chordata, Aves, Trogoniformes, Trogonidae.